AAGCAGGGGAUCGUAAGACCUUGCGCUUUUGGAGCGGCCGAUGUCUGAUUAGCUAGUUGGUGGGGUAAUGGCCUACCAAGGCUACGAUCAGUAGCUGGUCUGAGAGGACGGCCAGCCACACUGGGACUGAGACACGGCCCAGACUCCUACGGGAGGCAGCAGUGGGGAAUUUUGGACAAUGGGCGCAAGCCUGAUCCAGCCAUGCCGCGUGAGUGAAGAAGGCCUUCGGGUUGUAAAGCUCUUUCAGCCGGGAAGAAAAGGUUGCGAUUAAUAAUCGCAAUUCAUGACGGUACCGAAAGAAGAAGCACCGGCUAACUACGUGCCAGCAGCCGCGGUAAUACGUAGGGUGCGAGCGUUAAUCGGAAUUACUGGGCGUAAAGGGUGCGCAGGCGGCUUUGUAAGUCAGAUGUGAAAUCCCCGGGCUUAACCUGGGAAUUGCGUUUGAAACUACAAGGCUUAG
RNAcentral lists this ribosomal RNA (460 nucleotides) under uncultured ammonia-oxidizing beta proteobacterium. RNAcentral describes it as "bacterial SSU rRNA". It matches the Rfam family "Bacterial small subunit ribosomal RNA", at positions 202 to 645 of the family's 1533-position model. Lineage: Bacteria; Pseudomonadati; Pseudomonadota; Betaproteobacteria. The record is from RNAcentral.